GGUCUAAUUACCCCCAUAACCAUAGAUAAAGGCAUCUUAUUUAUUUAAAAACUCCGGUGGUUUAAGAUGUGCAUGCGUUGUAUUAGAUAGUUGGUAAGGUAACGGCUUACCAAGUCUACGAUACAUAGGGGGACUGAGAGGUUUACCCCCCACACUGGUACUGAGACACGGACCAGACUCCUACGGGAGGCAGCAGUGAGGAAUAUUGGUCAAUGGACGCAAGUCUGAACCAGCCAUGCCGCGUGCAGGAAGACGGCUCUAUGAGUUGUAAACUGCUUUUGUACCAGGGUAAACCUAUCUACGUGUAGAUAGCUGAAAGUAUGGUACGAAUAAGGACCGGCUAACUCCGUGCCAGCAGCCGCGGUAAUACGGAGGGUCCAAGCGUUAUCCGGAUUUAUUGGGUUUAAAGGGUGCGUAGGCGGUUUGUUAAGUUAGAGGUGAAAUCCCGUGGCUCAACCACGGAACUGCCUCUGAUACUGGCGAGCUAGAGAGAGGUUGCUGUGGGCGGAAUGUGUGGUGUAGCGGUGAAAUGCUUAGAGAUCACACAGAACACCGAUUGCGAAGGCAGCUCACAAAGCCUCUUCUGACGCUGAGGCACGAAAGCGUGGGGAGCAAACAGAAUUAGAUACCCUGGUAGUCCACGCCGUAAACGAUGAUAACUCGUUGCCGGCGAUAUAUUGUCGGUGACUUAGCGAAAGCGAUAAGUUAUCCACCUGGGGAGUACG
This 725-nucleotide ribosomal RNA is filed under the name uncultured bacterium. RNAcentral's name for it is "bacterial SSU rRNA". It matches the Rfam family "Bacterial small subunit ribosomal RNA", at positions 160 to 884 of the family's 1533-position model. The record is from RNAcentral.